CAGGGUCCUUUAUAGUUUCAGCUUUCAACAAAAUUGUAGCAACUUAAUAAAGAUAUCCCAGUUAACAAGACUUUCAAGCAAGCAUGACUCUACAAUUACACACACUCUCAGUUGUUAUAUAUUAGUAGCAUUAUGUUGUUAGGGACAUUGAUCGAGUGUAUUAUCCUGUUCUUUUUUGGGGGGUCCUGCAAUUUUCUCCAAAUCAAUUUUCUUUUGCCACUGUUUUUCUUGUUGCUUAAUUUCUGUUUAUCAUGAUUGUGACUUCAAUUAUAUCACAGCUCAUAACGUUGUAACCUGAAAAGCACCCGUAACUGACGAUGAAGAGCAGCAGAAAUUCGACACGUAUAACCACAAGACUAGAAAGACGGGCCAGAAAUGCCAGUCAGCAGAAGGUCCAUCACGGCCUCAUAUAAUUCAGGAGCAGAGCGACCGAUUUCACAUUAUGACAUAGACAAAAGAAGGGUGCUGCUCGUAGCUCGGUUUUGAACUUGGUAGACUAUGGAAGUAAGCAGCUUUAAUUUUUUUGACUUCAUUGAAGCUUGUUUACUUAUGUUUUUCUUUGUAUAUAUUAAGGUGAUUGAUUUUGUUAUUUACUAGAAUGUUUUGUGCUUCCUCUGAUAGUCAUAAUUGGAUCUGUAGUUCACAAACAUAGAACGCAAAAGAUGACGGAAAAUAACACAGAGAUUAUUUUAUCCAAUGAAUGAUCCUUGAAGCCUAGAAGAUAGUUUGCUUCUUUUUCAGUUAAUUACUGUAUUAUGAGUUUCAAUUGAUUGAUUAUAGGAAUGUUUUAAGUAAAAUUAAUCAAUUUAAUUAUUCAGCAGUAAA
Molecule: long non-coding RNA, 825 nt
Organism: Mercurialis annua (annual mercury)
Lineage: Eukaryota; Viridiplantae; Streptophyta; Magnoliopsida; Malpighiales; Euphorbiaceae
Exons: 2
Source: RefSeq, a predicted model, not a curated record